UACGUAGGUCCCGAGCGUUGUCUGGAUUUAUUGGGCGUAAAGCGAGCGCAGGUGGUUUAUUAAGUCUGGUGUAAAAGGCAGUGGCUCAACCAUUGUAUGCAUUGGAAACUGGUAGACUUGAGUGCAGGAGAGGAGAGUGGAAUUCCAUGUGUAGCGGUGAAAUGCGUAGAUAUAUGGAGGAACACCGGUGGCGAAAGCGGCUCUCUGGCCUGUAACUGACACUGAGGCUCGAAAGCGUGGGGAGCAAAUAGG
RNAcentral lists this ribosomal RNA (252 nucleotides) under uncultured bacterium. RNAcentral's name for it is "partial 16S ribosomal RNA". It matches the Rfam family "Bacterial small subunit ribosomal RNA", at positions 524 to 776 of the family's 1533-position model. The record is from RNAcentral.